Molecule: ribosomal RNA, 333 nt
Filed under: uncultured bacterium
Lineage: Bacteria
Description: bacterial SSU rRNA
Rfam family: Bacterial small subunit ribosomal RNA
Source: RNAcentral
CGCGUAGGUGGGAUAGUAAGUCUGCUUUAAAAGUGCGGGGCUCAACCCCGUGAUGGGGUGGAAACUGCUAUUCUUGAGUGCAGGAGAGGAAAGCGGAAUUCCCAGUGUAGCGGUGAAAUGCGUAGAUAUUGGGAGGAACACCAGUGGCGAAGGCGGCUUUCUGGACUGUGUCUGACACUGAGGCGCGAAAGCUAGGGGAGCGAACGGGAUUAGAUACCCCGGUAGUCCUAGCCGUAAACGAUGGGUACUAGGUGUAGGGGGGUAUCGACCCCCCCUGUGCCGGAGUUAACGCAAUAAGUACCCCGCCUGGGGGAGUACGGCCGCAAGGUUGAA